AUCCUGUCUGAAGAUGGGGGGACCAUCCUCCAAGGCUAAAUACUCGUAAUCGACCGAUAGUGAACCAGUACCGUGAGGGAAAGGCGAAAAGAACCCCGGGAGGGGAGUGAAAUAGAUCCUGAAACCGUAUGCAUACAAAAAGUCGGAGCCCGCAAGGGUGACGGCGUACCUUUUGUAUAAUGGGUCAGCGACUUACAUUCAGUGGCAAGCUUAACCGAGUAGGGAAGGCGUAGGGAAACCGAGUCCGAAUAGGGCGUUCAGUCGCUGGGUGUAGACCCGAAACCAAGUGAUCUAUCCAUGGCCAGGAUGAAGGUGCGGUAACACGCACUGGAGGUCCGAACCGACUAGUGUUGUAAAACUAGCGGAUGAGCUGUGGAUAGGGGUGAAAGGCUAAACAAACUUGGAAAUAGCUGGUUCUCUCCGAAAACUAUUUAGGUAGUGCCUCAAGUAUUACCGUCGGGGGUAGAGCACUGUUAUGGCUAGGGGGUCAUGGCGACUUACCAAACCAUGGCAAACUCCGAAUACCGAUGAGUACAGCUUGGGAGACAGUGCACCGGGUGCUAACGUCCGGACACGAGAGGGAAACAACCCAGACCGCCAGCUAAGGUCCCUAAUAUUGGCUAAGUGGGAAACGAAGUGGGAAGGCUAAAACAGUCAGGAUGUUGGCUUAGAAGCAGCCACCAUUUAAAGAAAGCGUAAUAGCUCACUGAUCGAGUCGUCCUGCGCGGAAGAUGUAACGGGGCUAAGCCAGUAACCGAAGCUGCGGAUCUCGCAAGAGAUGGUAGGAGAGCGUUCUGUAAGCCUGCGAAGGUGGAUCGUAAGGUCUGCUGGAGGUAUCAGAAGUGCGAAUGCUGACAUGAGUAGCGUUAAAGGGGGUGAAAAGCCCCCUCGCCGAAAGCGCAAGGUUUCCUACGCAACGUUCAUCGGCGUAGGGUGAGUCGGCCCCUAAGGCGAGGCAGAGAUGCGUAGCUGAUGGGAAACAGGUUAAUAUUCCUGUACCGAUCUAUGGUGCGAUGUGGGGACGGAGAAGGUUAGCUCAGCCAACUGUUGGAAUAGUUGGUUCAAGCAUGUAGGCGUGCUCUUUAGGCAAAUCCGGAGAGCUUAGCUGAGGUGUGAUAACGAGGCUGCUUGCAGCCGAAGUGAGUGAUACCCUGCUUCCAGGAAAAGCCACUAAGCUUCAGCCAUAGAUUGACCGUACCGCAAACCGACACUGGUGCGCGAGAUGAGUAUUCUAAGGCGCUUGAGAGAACUCUGGAGAAGGAACUCGGCAAAUUGACACCGUAACUUCGGAAGAAGGUGUGCCUUUAGUAGGUGAAGUCCCUCGCGGAUGGAGCCCAACGAGGUUGCAAAAAAUCGGUGGCUGCGACUGUUUAUUAAAAACACAGCACUCUGCAAACACGAAAGUGGACGUAUAGGGUGUGACGCCUGCCCGGUGCUGGAAGAUUAAUUGAUGGGGUGCAAGCUCUUGAUCGAAGUCCCAGUAAACGGCGGCCGUAACUAUAACGGUCCUAAGGUAGCGAAAUUCCUUGUCGGGUAAGUUCCGACCUGCACGAAUGGCGUAACGAUGGCCACACUGUCUCCUCCAGAGACUCAGCGAAGUUGAAAUGUUUGUGAUGAUGCAAUCUCCCCGCGGAAAGACGGAAAGACCCCAUGAACCUUUACUGUAGCUUUGUAUUGGACUUUGAACAGAUCUGUGUAGGAUAGGUGGGAGGCUUUGAAGCC
Molecule: ribosomal RNA, 1722 nt
Filed under: freshwater metagenome
Description: bacterial LSU rRNA
Rfam family: Bacterial large subunit ribosomal RNA
Source: RNAcentral